RNAcentral lists this unclassified non-coding RNA (330 nucleotides) under soil metagenome. RNAcentral describes it as "partial contains 5.8S ribosomal RNA, internal transcribed spacer 2, and large subunit ribosomal RNA". The stretch from base 1 to 120 matches the Rfam family "5.8S ribosomal RNA", at positions 35 to 154 of the family's 154-position model. The record is from RNAcentral.
GAUGAAGAACGCAGUGAAAUGCGAUAAGUAAUGUGAAUUGCAGAAUUCAGUGAAUCAUCGAAUCUUUGAACGCACAUUGCGCCCCCUGGUAUUCCGGGGGGCAUGCCUGUUCGAGCGUCAUUUCACCACUCAAGCCUCGCUUGGUAUUGGGCAACGCGGUCCGCCGCGUGCCUCAAAUCGUCCGGCUGGGUCUUCUGUCCCCUAAGCGUUGUGGAAACUAUUCGCUAAAGGGUGUUCGGGAGGCUACGCCGUAAAACAACCCCAUUUCUAAGGUUGACCUCGGAUCAGGUAGGGAUACCCGCUGAACUUAAGCAUAUCAAAAGCGGAGGA